Molecule: ribosomal RNA, 254 nt
Filed under: uncultured bacterium
Lineage: Bacteria
Description: partial 16S ribosomal RNA
Rfam family: Bacterial small subunit ribosomal RNA
Source: RNAcentral
UACGGAGGGAGCUAGCGUUGUUCGGAAUUACUGGGCGUAAAGCGCACGUAGGCGGCUUUGUAAGUUAGAGGUGAAAGCCCGGGGCUCAACUCCGGAACUGCCUUUAAGACUGCAUCGCUUGAAUCCGGGAGAGGUGAGUGGAAUUCCGAGUGUAGAGGUGAAAUUCGUAGAUAUUGGGAAGAACACCGGUGGCGAAGGCGGCUCACUGGCCCGAUACUGACGCUGAGGCACGAAAGCGUGGGGAGCAAACAGGG